RNAcentral lists this unclassified non-coding RNA (387 nucleotides) under soil metagenome. Its description in RNAcentral is "partial contains 5.8S ribosomal RNA, internal transcribed spacer 2, and large subunit ribosomal RNA". The stretch from base 1 to 120 matches the Rfam family "5.8S ribosomal RNA", at positions 35 to 154 of the family's 154-position model. The record is from RNAcentral.
GAUGAAGAACGUAGCGAAAUGCGAUAAGUAAUGUGAAUUGCAGAAUUCAGUGAAUCAUCGAAUCUUUGAACACACCUUGCACCCUUUGGCAUUCCGAAGGGUAUGCUCGUUUGAGUGUCAUUGUACUCUCACACUCUCCGAUCCUAUGGAUUCGGGGAGCGGUGGACUUGGGUGUUGCUGCCUUUCCUUGUGGCUCACCUCAAAUGUGUCAGUGCACCUCUUGGUUGGACAUAGUACGGCGUGAUAAGUGUCUUCGCCGGCACCUCGCAAGAGGGUGGCCGAUCGGGAGCUCUGUGCUUUCAAACCGUCUUCGGACAAUUUCUGACAACUUGACCUCAAAUCGAGUAGGACUACCCGCUGAACUUAAGCAUAUCAAUAAGCGGAGGA